GACGAACGCUGGCGGCGUGCUUAACACAUGCAAGUCGAACGGAAAGACGCUGCUCUUGUGGGUUGCUCGAGUGGCGAACGGGGGAGUAAAACGCGAGUAACAUGUACUUGACAUACGGAUAACUCCACGAAACUGGGGCUAAUACCGGGUAGGAUCUCUUGCUGCAUGGUGGGGGUUGGAAAGUUACGGCGGUUGGGGCUCGACUCGCGGGUUAUGAGCUGGUUUGUCUGGUAGUGGAUGACGAAGGUUUUGACGGGUAGCCGGCAUGGGAGGGUGACCGGCGUCCAGAGGACUGAGGUAGGGCGCAGACUCGAACGGGCGGCAGCAGGCGAGAAUAUUGCACAAUGGCGCGAAGCCUGAUGCAGAAACGCCCCGUGCGGGAUGACGGCCUACGAGUUGUAAACCGCUUUCGCCUGUGACGAAGCGUGAGUGACGGUAAUGGGUAAAGAAGCACCGGCUAACUACGUG
RNAcentral lists this ribosomal RNA (468 nucleotides) under uncultured bacterium. RNAcentral describes it as "partial 16S ribosomal RNA". It matches the Rfam family "Bacterial small subunit ribosomal RNA", at positions 28 to 507 of the family's 1533-position model. The record is from RNAcentral.